Molecule: non-coding RNA, 491 nt
Organism: Paramuricea clavata
Lineage: Eukaryota; Metazoa; Cnidaria; Anthozoa; Malacalcyonacea; Plexauridae
Source: the annotation of a GenBank genome assembly
UAUCCACGUGUCCCAUUACAAUAGCUCCUUAUCUAUAAAAUUAGAUGCAGGCAGCAAUAAAAUCUUUAUUGGUAUGCCAAUAAUUCCUUUAAGAGCUGCGUUUUUUAUACUCACAUAUACACGUGGGAAAAUAUAAUUAUGGUUUUUGCAAUAAUGGUUGACUCCUCCACAGCAGACCCUACUGCACCAUGGGAAGGUCACACAUAAUUCCAACAGGGCCUGCGGUAAGAAAAUAUGCAAUAAUAAAUUUUAAUAAUUAAGUCUUUUACGACUUUUUAUUAAUUAAUUUGAGCUCUUUAAGCCUUCAGGGUAAACUUUUGCACUAGUUUUAGUUCUCAAAUAAAAGUUUAACGUUCGAAAUUGCUAAAAAUGGAGUGGCUAUGACGUAAGCAAGAGUGCAUGACGCCAUUUUGUUUACAAGAUUCUGCAGGCCUCUAGAAGUUGUAACCUUCCCAUGAGGCAUGGGGGCCUGUGCAGGAGGCUGCGGUAAU